Long non-coding RNA from Protobothrops mucrosquamatus (brown spotted pit viper), 1089 nucleotides. RefSeq lists it as uncharacterized. NCBI's taxonomy places the organism in Eukaryota, Metazoa, Chordata, Lepidosauria, Squamata, Viperidae. The transcript is spliced from 5 exons. The record is from RefSeq and is a predicted model, not a curated record.
CUACUGCUUUUGCGGCGCUUCGCAAUGCGGCACACAAUACAGCAUGGAAACAUCUCAAGUCUCUGUAAGACUUGGAAGACAUAAUUCACCGUCACCUUGCAUGCAUAAGGAGUCAACCCAGGCAGGGAUGCAGAUGUCACAUAUCUUCAUUGUAAGCUCUAAUCCCAAGAAAAUCCCCUUUUGGAGAAGAGGGUGUUAGUAAUGCAUCUGUUCUGAUCCACAUUCCAAGAAAAAUGUCAGCAUUUGAUGGUAACAAAAGCAGCCAUCUCUGAAACUUCUCCUGGAAGCAGAAUUCCAUGUACACCUGCUGGGAAUGGGACAGACACCUGGAUCUUAGGUAUAAAGUGCUCCUGUUUAAAAGAAACAGCACGGUGCAUAUGAGUUUGGAACGGAUAACACCAGACAUGUACGUGGAAGGCAAAAUCACGAAACCGUGUUUCACUUAUUUUGGCCAUGUCAUGAGGAAAUUCACUGGAGAAAGUAGUUGUCAACGUUGUGACAACUAGCUAUAUUUGGAAGAAUUAGAGGUAAAAGGAAAUCAGACCACCAAAAAGCAUCGGCUGGAUACCAUCAAGGCCGACACUAGCCAGAACAUAAAACAACUCAAGGAAGCAGCAUAGGAUUGGAUGAGGUGAAGAGACCUGGCCCAUAGAAUUGCCAAGAAUCAGUGAAUGGAUUGAAUGGAUAACAUCAUUAUCGACAGAUCUAUAAGCUUUUAAAUAACCUGCAUCUACUGCAAACCUAUGCAAACGGACCAGAUCCUCAGCUUCGCAAGCAACCACCCCACUGUGUCCAGAUCUCUUCCGAAGGGCCAGGACACAGCACCACAACAAUAAGAAAAGCAGAAGAAAAAUGGCUACUUGAUAUCUUUCUCUGCUAUCCAAAAAACUUCAAAUUCUGAUACCCAGAACCCAAACCACACCACACACCCAACCGCCAUGCAAAAACUAGCCUUACCAUACACACAUGGGAUGUUGGAAAUGACAGCCAGAAUUCUCCAACCCCUAGGAAUAGCAAUAGCCCACAAACCCAUAGCCACACAACACCAGGAUUUAUCCAGAACCAAAGACGAAGACACAGAAGGAUGAA